Molecule: transfer RNA, 72 nt
Filed under: Eilatimonas milleporae
Lineage: Bacteria; Pseudomonadati; Pseudomonadota; Alphaproteobacteria; Kordiimonadales; Kordiimonadaceae
Description: bacterium MD2 tRNA
Rfam family: tRNA
About the family: Transfer RNA (tRNA) molecules are approximately 80 nucleotides in length. Their secondary structure includes four short double-helical elements and three loops (D, anti-codon, and T loops).
Source: Rfam by way of RNAcentral
GCCGCUGUAGCUCAGUGGUAGAGCGCACCCUUGGUAAGGGUGAGGUCGAGAGUUCAAUUCUCUCCAGCGGCA